CCUACGGGACGCAGCAGUGGGGAAUAUUGGGCAAUGGGCGCAAGCCUGACCCAGCAACGCCGCGUGAAGGAAGAAGGUUUUCGGAUCGUAAAACUCUGUUGGUAGAGAAGAACGUUGGUGAGAGUGGAAAGCUCAUCAAGUGACGGUAACUACCCAGAAAGGGACGGCUAACUACGUGCCAGCAGCCGCGGUAAUACGUAGGUCCCGAGCGUUGUCCGGAUUUAUUGGGCGUAAAGCGAGCGCAGGUGGUUUAUUAAGUCUGGUGUAAAAGGCAGUGGCUCAACCAUUGUAUGCAUUGGAAACUG
RNAcentral lists this ribosomal RNA (305 nucleotides) under uncultured bacterium. RNAcentral describes it as "bacterial SSU rRNA". It matches the Rfam family "Bacterial small subunit ribosomal RNA", at positions 338 to 635 of the family's 1533-position model. The record is from RNAcentral.